UUAGUAGAAGCCAAAAUAGAGGCUUUUCAUUGUUAAUGAAAAAAAUGAUUGUUUAAUCCUACUAAA
RNAcentral lists this transfer RNA (66 nucleotides) under Peirates lepturoides. RNAcentral's name for it is "tRNA-Asn". Lineage: Eukaryota; Metazoa; Arthropoda; Insecta; Hemiptera; Reduviidae. The record is from RNAcentral.